Molecule: microRNA precursor, 228 nt
Filed under: Sorghum bicolor (sorghum)
Lineage: Eukaryota; Viridiplantae; Streptophyta; Magnoliopsida; Poales; Poaceae
Description: MIR6217 microRNA precursor family
Rfam family: MIR6217 microRNA precursor family
Source: Rfam by way of RNAcentral
UGCCUACAAAAUAACUUAUUUUGUAGUCACUUUGAGUUACGAUAAUUACUAUAUUAAUUUACAAGAUUAUAGUAACUCCUUACUAAGUGAUUUAUUAUAACAUUACGGUAAAUAUCCCCAUGUGUUAUAGUAACCCAACUAUCGUAAAUAUGUAUACAUAUUAUCGUAAAUUAGUAUACAAAAUUAUCGUAAAUCGAGGUGGCUACAGAAUAACAUAUUUUGUAGCUA